Molecule: ribosomal RNA, 208 nt
Filed under: uncultured bacterium
Lineage: Bacteria
Description: partial 16S ribosomal RNA
Rfam family: Bacterial small subunit ribosomal RNA
Source: RNAcentral
CGCGUAGGCGGACUCUUAAGUCGGAGGUGAAAGCCCAGGGCUCAACCCUGGAAUUGCCUUCGAUACUGGGAGUCUUGAGUUCGGAAGAGGUUGGUGGAACUGCGAGUGUAGAGGUGAAAUUCGUAGAUAUUCGCAAGAACACCAGUGGCGAAGGCGGCCAACUGGUCCGAUACUGACGCUGAGGCGCGAAAGCGUGGGGAGCAAACAG